Molecule: ribosomal RNA, 320 nt
Filed under: uncultured eukaryote
Lineage: Eukaryota
Description: partial 18S ribosomal RNA
Rfam family: Eukaryotic small subunit ribosomal RNA
Source: RNAcentral
CCCCUAGAUGUUCUGGGCCGCACGCGCGCUACACUGAACAGUUCAACAAGUCUUAACCUUGGCCGAUAGGUCUGGGUAAUCUUUGAACGCUGUUCGUGAUUGGGAUAGACCUUUGCAAUUAUGGGUCUUCAACGAGGAAUUCCUAGUAAACGCAAGUCAUCAGCUUGCAUUGAUUACGUCCCUGCCCUUUGUACACACCGCCCGACGCACCUACCGAUUGAAUGGUCCGGUGAAAUCUCGGGACGGCGGCUUGGUCGCUUGCGUCCGACUGCUGAAACUUGAUUAAACCAUAUCAUUUAGAGGAAGGUGAAGUCGUANCA